AUGAAUAUCUUCAGGAAAUAUGGCUCAAGGAAGAACUCCAAGGGUGUUAUUGGGGAGUCUUCUGACAAUGAUCUCCACCCUCGGAGGUUGGCAGAGGUACGACCGUGCGAAUGGUCGCACAUCCUGUUCCUGCAAGAAGUUGGAAUUCAUGAGGAGUUCAUGCAAUUCAUUGCCAAUGCCGGUCUCACCGAUUUCAUCACAGAUGAGUGUGACCAGCACCAAAUCCUCACAAAUAUGUUUGUUCAAAGCUUUACUUUCUUGCCUAGAAAUAAUCCCCCUGAAGUGAGCUUUGAUUUAUAUGCUGAAAAUCAUCAGAUACCACUUAUUGAGUUUUGUGACAUAUGCUUGAUCACUUCUGACGGGAGCUUGGCCGAGCCUAGGCCGGCUGAGUUUGAGGAUUUUUGUCGCACUUUGACAGUGGGUGAUGAGAGAAGAGUGUCGGCCAUCACUGCUAGUGGUUUACAUUUUCCUGUUGUUCGUUACUUUGCAUAUUCCAUUACCAAAUGCUUGCUUUCUAGGGAGAAGGUGGGUGCACUUAGUUCACCAAACCUUGUUGUUUUACGUCGUGCAAUUGAGGGCGACAACACGUAUAGAUUGGGAGCUAUCGUGGCUCGUCGCCUGCACCUUAAUAAAUCCCAGGGUAAAAUACAUGGUGGGAUUUAUGCUACGCGUUUGGCGGCUCACUUCGAGGUUGAGAUAUGCCCUCAUGAUUACCCUCUGACCAAGGUUUACCUAGACCGUGCGGCCAUGGAUCACCAUCACUUUCUUGCACAUGAUCGUCCUGACAUUGCCAUUCCUUAUAACUUGGUCUAUAACAUUGACACUCAUGAUGUUAUUCCCUUGCCGGCACCUACUUUGUUUGAUUCUAUUGCCAGGGGCGAAUACCGGAUUAUGCCUGCAGACAUCCUCGCCUACUGGAAUGCUCAGGCUGCUGUUGAGGCUGCACAGGCACCUCCACAGUGGGAUCAGUGGAUGCCCGCUCCUCAGUACCCCGACUACUACCCUCCAGGCUACCGAUUCACUACCAACUUAGGCCAAAAGCCUAAGCUUGGGGGAGUACGGGUUUCUCACUGA
Molecule: ribosomal RNA, 1074 nt
Filed under: Triticum aestivum (bread wheat)
Lineage: Eukaryota; Viridiplantae; Streptophyta; Magnoliopsida; Poales; Poaceae
Description: partial small subunit ribosomal RNA
Source: RNAcentral